CCGAGUGAGGGCCCCUGGCCCGACCUCCAACCCUUUGUUAUCAAAACCACUGUUGCCUCGGGGGCGACCCGGGCCUGUCGGCCCAGGGCCCCCGACGGACAAUUUCAAAACACUGCAUCUUUGCGUCGGAUUAAAAAGUUUAAUUGAUUA
This 150-nucleotide unclassified non-coding RNA is filed under the name uncultured fungus. RNAcentral describes it as "sequence contains ITS1, 5.8S rRNA gene". Lineage: Eukaryota; Fungi. The record is from RNAcentral.